This 606-nucleotide ribosomal RNA is filed under the name Triticum aestivum (bread wheat). RNAcentral's name for it is "partial small subunit ribosomal RNA". The record is from RNAcentral. Lineage: Eukaryota; Viridiplantae; Streptophyta; Magnoliopsida; Poales; Poaceae.
UUGGAUAUUGUUGCCAGAGAGUGGGCUAGAGAGUCUAGGGGUAGAUCGCCUGUCGAGAGAUGGCAGAAUAAGAUUAGGCAUUUGAGGUGCUUUCUUCGAGGUUGGGCUAAACAUCUAAGUGGAGUUUAUAAGGUUGAGAAAGACAGACUCCUGGAGAUUAUUCAAUACCUAGAUGUUAAAGCUGAAUCAGCGGUUCUUCAAUCUGCGGAUAUGUGCUGUAAGAUUGAUGCGGAAAAGAGGUUGAAGGAACUUCUCCGCGAAGAAGAGCUGAAGUGGGCGCUCAGAGCAAAGGUGCGCAAAGUAAUCCAAGGGGAUGCGAACACUCAAUUCUUUCAUCUGAUUGCGAAUGGCAAACACAGAAAGAAAAAAAUAUUUCAGCUCGAGCAAGAUGAAGGCACAAUUGUUGGUCACGAUAAUCUUAAGCUAUACAUCACCGAAUACUACAAGCAGUUAUUUGGACCGCCGGAGGAUAGCGCUGUGUCCCUCGAUGAGUCCAGGACUGAGGAUGUGCCUCAAUUAACUGCUGCUGAUAAUGACAUGCUAGUUGCGCCGUUUACGGAAAAGGAGGUUUUCGAUGCCAUCUCUCAGAUGGAGAACAAUAAGGCU